RNAcentral lists this ribosomal RNA (468 nucleotides) under uncultured bacterium. RNAcentral's name for it is "partial 16S ribosomal RNA". It matches the Rfam family "Bacterial small subunit ribosomal RNA", at positions 28 to 507 of the family's 1533-position model. The record is from RNAcentral.
GACGAACGCUGGCGGCAUGCUUAACACAUGCAAGUCGAACGGAACGGCCCUGCCUUUGUGGGCAGCUCGAGUGGCGAACGGGUAAGCAACACGUGAGUUCCCUGCAAUUGACCGUGGGAUAACCUAAGACCACAGGGGCUAUUCCCGCAUAGGAGUUCCUGCUGCUUGGUGGGGCUUGGAAAGUUUCGCUGGUUGGGGGUGGAAUGGCCGCUUAUCAGCUUGUUGGGUGGGUAGUGGCUUAGCAUGGCUUUGACGGGUGGCAGGGCUGGGAGGGGGACCGGCCACAUUGGGACUGAGAUACGGCCCAGACUCGUACGGGAGGCAGCAGUGGGGAAGAUUGCACAAUGGGCGGAAGCCUGAUGCAGCAACGCCGCGUGCGGGAUGACGGCCUUCGGGUUGUAAACCGCUUUCGCCUGUGACGAAGCGUGAGUGACGGUAAUGGGUAAAGAAGCACCGGCUAACUACGUG